GGGCCCAUAGCUCAGCUGGUAGAGCGCUUGGCUGGCAGCCAAGAGGUCAGGGGUUCGAAUCCCCUUGGGUCCACCA
Molecule: transfer RNA, 76 nt
Filed under: Pseudomonadota bacterium
Lineage: Bacteria; Pseudomonadati; Pseudomonadota
Also listed under: 2 other names
Description: tRNA-Ala
Rfam family: tRNA
About the family: Transfer RNA (tRNA) molecules are approximately 80 nucleotides in length. Their secondary structure includes four short double-helical elements and three loops (D, anti-codon, and T loops).
Source: RNAcentral